Molecule: ribosomal RNA, 253 nt
Filed under: uncultured bacterium
Lineage: Bacteria
Description: partial 16S ribosomal RNA
Rfam family: Bacterial small subunit ribosomal RNA
Source: RNAcentral
UACAGAGGAGCCAAGCGUUGUCCGGAUUGACUGGGCGUAAAGCGCACGCAGGCGGGUGCGCGCGUGGAGGGUGAAAUCUGGCCGCUUAACGGCCAGGCGCCAUCCCAUACGGCGCGCCUGGAGCCUUGCAGAGGUCGGUGGAAUUGCCGGUGUAGUGGUGAAAUGCGUAGAGAUCGGGAGGAACACCCGUGGCGAAGGCGGCCAGCUGGGCCGGACCUGACGCUGAGGCGCGAAGGCGUGGGGAGCGAACGGG